AGUGAACGCUGGCGGCGUGCCUAAUACAUGCAAGUCGAACGGAAUUUAAAAGAGCUUGCUCUUUUAAAUUUAGUGGCGCACGGGUGAGUAAUAUAUAGCUAAUCUGCCCCUUGCUGGAGGACAACAGUUAGAAAUGACUGCUAAUACUCCAUACUCCUUUUUACCAUAAGAUAAAUCGGGAAAGAAUUUCGGCAAGGGAUGAGACUAUAUCGUAUCAGCUAGUCGGUGGGGUAACGGCCUACCGAGGCUAUGACGCGUAACUGGUCUGAGAGGAUGAUCAGUCACAUUGGAACUGAGACACGGUCCAAACUCCUACGGGAGGCAGCAGUAGGGAAUAUUGCGCAAUGGGGGAAACCCUGACGCAGCAACGCCGCGUGGAGGAUGACACUUUUCGGAGCGUAAACUCCUUUUGUUAGGGA
This 419-nucleotide ribosomal RNA is filed under the name Campylobacter gracilis. RNAcentral's name for it is "bacterial SSU rRNA". It matches the Rfam family "Bacterial small subunit ribosomal RNA", at positions 29 to 445 of the family's 1533-position model. The record is from RNAcentral. Lineage: Bacteria; Pseudomonadati; Campylobacterota; Epsilonproteobacteria; Campylobacterales; Campylobacteraceae.